RNAcentral lists this ribosomal RNA (761 nucleotides) under Prevotella melaninogenica. RNAcentral describes it as "bacterial SSU rRNA". It matches the Rfam family "Bacterial small subunit ribosomal RNA", at positions 28 to 776 of the family's 1533-position model. The record is from RNAcentral. Lineage: Bacteria; Pseudomonadati; Bacteroidota; Bacteroidia; Bacteroidales; Prevotellaceae.
GAUGAACGCUAGCUACAGGCUUAACACAUGCAAGUCGAGGGGAAACGGCAUUGAGUGCUUGCACUCUUUGGACGUCGACCGGCGCACGGGUGAGUAACGCGUAUCCNNCCUUCCCAUUACUGUGGGAUAACCUGCCGAAAGGCAGACUAAUACCGCAUAGUCUUCGAUGACGGCAUCAGAUUUGAAGUAAAGAUUUAUCGGUAAUGGAUGGGGAUGCGUCUGAUUAGCUUGUUGGCGGGGUAACGGCCCACCAAGGCUACGAUCAGUAGGGGUUCUGAGAGGAAGGUCCCCCACAUUGGAACUGAGACACGGUCCAAACUCCUACGGGAGGCAGCAGUGAGGAAUAUUGGUCAAUGGACGGAAGUCUGAACCAGCCAAGUAGCGUGCAGGAUGACGGCCCUAUGGGUUGUAAACUGCUUUUGUAUGGGGAUAAAGUUAGGGACGUGUCCCUAUUUGCAGGUACCAUACGAAUAAGGACCGGCUAAUUCCGUGCCAGCAGCCGCGGUAAUACGGAAGGUCCAGGCGUUAUCCGGAUUUAUUGGGUUUAAAGGGAGCGUAGGCUGGAGAUUAAGUGUGUUGUGAAAUGUAGACGCUCAACGUCUGAAUUGCAGCGCAUACUGGUUUCCUUGAGUACGCACAACGUUGGCGGAAUUCGUCGUGUAGCGGUGAAAUGCUUAGAUAUGACGAAGAACUCCGAUUGCGAAGGCAGCUGACGGGAGCGCAACUGACGCUUAAGCUCGAAGGUGCGGGUAUCAAACAGG